RNAcentral lists this ribosomal RNA (468 nucleotides) under uncultured bacterium. RNAcentral's name for it is "partial 16S ribosomal RNA". It matches the Rfam family "Bacterial small subunit ribosomal RNA", at positions 28 to 507 of the family's 1533-position model. The record is from RNAcentral.
GACGAACGCUGGCGGCGUGCUUAACACAUGCAAGUCGAACGGAAAGGCCCUGCUUUUGUGGGGUGCUCGAGUGGCGAACGGGUGAGUAACACGUGAGUAACCUGCCCUUGACUUUGGGAUAACUUCAGGAAACUGGGGCUAAUACCGGAUAGGAGCUCCUGAUGCGUGGUGGGGGUUGGAAAGUUUCGGCGGUUGGGGAUGGACUCGCGGGUUAUCAGCCUGUUGGGGGGGUAGUGGCUUACCAAGGCUUUGACGGAUAGGCCGCCUGGGAGGGCAACCAGGGUCCAUGGGCCUACGGGAGGGAGCAGACGGCAAUCGGGGGCAACGGGGGGAAGCAUGACGGAGUGGGCGGGAGUCUGUGACGAAGGCCUCCGGUUCGGAAAGACCGGCUUUGGGGUAAGAACCGCUUUGGCCGGAAACAAAGACGUAUUGACGGUAACUAGUCAAAAAGCACCGGCUAACUACGUG